UUCUGCCUCUGACAACGAGUAUAUCAUUUCUGUGCGUCAUCUCAGAAAGAGGCAGAGGAAUGGGUGGAGCAGAUAGAUUUUGUGUUGAGAGACAUGUCAGGGGUCAUUCCGUUGGACGAGGAGACGUACGAUGACAUUGGCACUGUCGAGGUGGAGCCUAUUGACGAUGACAUCUACGAAGAACUCCCAGGUCUACCAUUUCUCACACACACAUACAUAUACA
Coregonus clupeaformis (lake whitefish) is the source of this 223-nucleotide long non-coding RNA. RefSeq lists it as uncharacterized. The transcript is spliced from 3 exons. NCBI's taxonomy places the organism in Eukaryota, Metazoa, Chordata, Actinopteri, Salmoniformes, Salmonidae. The record is from RefSeq and is a predicted model, not a curated record.